Molecule: non-coding RNA, 378 nt
Organism: Gracilinanus agilis (Agile Gracile Mouse Opossum)
Lineage: Eukaryota; Metazoa; Chordata; Mammalia; Didelphimorphia; Didelphidae
Source: the annotation of a RefSeq genome assembly
AUGGCCUGUCCUCUUGUCUGUCUGUCAUUGCUCACCUUCUACUCAGGCUCCCUCUCCCAGCUGGUGCUGACUCAGCUUCCCUCUGUCUCUGCUUCCCUGGGGAGGACGACCAGACUCACCUGCACCCUGAGCAGUGGGUAUAGUCAUUAUAGUGUUGAUUGGUACCAGAAGAGCCCAGGAAAAUCCCCUCGGUACCUCAUGAGGGUUUACAGUGAUGGAAAUAUAGGUAGGGCUAAUGGGAUCCCUGAGCAUUUCUCUGGCUCCAGUUCUGGGGCUGAUCGAUUCCUGUUCAUCAGCAAUGUCCAGCCUGAGGAUGAAGCCUGUUACUACUGUGGGGAAGGCUAUGUCAGUGGUAGUAAUUAUGCUCAUUCAGAGUGA